This 497-nucleotide ribosomal RNA is filed under the name uncultured bacterium. RNAcentral's name for it is "partial 16S ribosomal RNA". It matches the Rfam family "Bacterial small subunit ribosomal RNA", at positions 28 to 507 of the family's 1533-position model. The record is from RNAcentral.
GAUGAACGCUGGCGGCGUGCCUAAUACAUGCAAGUCGAGCGAACAGACGAGGAGCUUGCUCCUCUGACGUUAGCGGCGGACGGGUGAGUAACACGUGGAUAACCUACCUAUAAGACUGGGAUAACUUCGGGAAACCGGAGCUAAUACCGGAUAAUAUAUUGAACCGCAUGGUUCAAUAGUGAAAGACGGUUUUGCUGUCACUUAUAGAUGGAUCCGCGCCGCAUUAGCUAGUUGGUAAGGUAACGGCUUACCAAGGCAACGAUGCGUAGCCGACCUGAGAGGGUGAUCGGCCACACUGGAAGAGAGACACGGUCCAGACUCCUACGGGAGGCAGCAGUAGGGAAUCUUCCGCAAUGGGCGAAAGCUUGACGGAGCAACGCCGCGUGAGUGAUGAAGGUCUUCGGAUCGUAAAGCUCUGUUAUUAGGGAAGAACAAAUGUGUAAGUAACUAUGCACGUCUUGACGGUACCUAAUCAGAAAGCCACGGCUAACUACGUG